AGCGGGGUCCGGGCCCCUCUGGCGGUGCGUCGCCCACCGCGAUGUCGGACCCUUGAA
Kaistia soli DSM 19436 is the source of this 57-nucleotide non-coding RNA. The record is from Rfam. Lineage: Bacteria; Pseudomonadati; Pseudomonadota; Alphaproteobacteria; Hyphomicrobiales; Kaistiaceae.